Molecule: ribosomal RNA, 276 nt
Filed under: uncultured Roseburia sp.
Lineage: Bacteria; Bacillati; Bacillota; Clostridia; Lachnospirales; Lachnospiraceae
Description: partial 16S ribosomal RNA
Rfam family: Bacterial small subunit ribosomal RNA
Source: RNAcentral
AUUUUCUUCGGAACUGAAGAUUUGGUGAUUGAGUGGCGGACGGGUGAGUAACGCGUGGGUAACCUACCCUGUACAGGGGGAUAACAGUUGGAAACGACUGCUAAUACCGCAUAAGCGCACAGGAUUGCAUGAUCCAGUGUGAAAAACUCCGGUGGUAUGAGAUGGACCCGCGUCUGAUUAGCCAGUUGGCGGGGUAACGGCCCACCAAAGCGACGAUCAGUAGCCGACCUGAGAGGGUGACCGGCCACAUUGGGACUGAGACACGGCCCAGACUCC